RNAcentral lists this long non-coding RNA (328 nucleotides) under Zostera marina. RNAcentral describes it as "long non-coding RNA (ZMAR_LNC001925)". The record is from RNAcentral. Lineage: Eukaryota; Viridiplantae; Streptophyta; Magnoliopsida; Alismatales; Zosteraceae.
UGGUGGUAAACACUCAGGUGGUGGUAAACACUCAGGUGGUGGUAAACACUCAGGCGGUGGUAAACACUCAGGUGGAGGUGGAGAGGGAUAUGGCAAAGGUGGCGGAGGUGGUUAUGGCUCAGGCGGUGGUAAACACUCAGGUGGAGGUGGAGAGGGAUAUGGCAAAGGUGGUGGAGGUGGUUAUGUUAUGGCUCAGGUGGUGGUAAACACUCAGGUGGAGGUGGAGAGGGAUAUGGCUCAGGUGGUGGAGGUGGUUAUGGCUCGGGCGGUGGUAAACACUCAGGUGGAGGUGGAGAGGGAUAUGGCUCAGGUGGUGGAGGUGGUUAUG